RNAcentral lists this ribosomal RNA (484 nucleotides) under uncultured bacterium. RNAcentral's name for it is "partial 16S ribosomal RNA". It matches the Rfam family "Bacterial small subunit ribosomal RNA", at positions 355 to 847 of the family's 1533-position model. The record is from RNAcentral.
UGGGGAAUAUUGCACAAUGGGCGCAAGCCUGAUGCAGCAACGCCGCGUGAGGGAUGACGGCCUUCGGGUUGUAAACCUCUUUUAGUAGGGAAGAAGCGAAAGUGACGGUACCUGCAGAAAAAGCACCGGCUAACUACGUGCCAGCAGCCGCGGUAAUACGUAGGGUGCGAGCGUUGUCCGGAAUUAUUGGGCGUAAAGAGCUCGUAGGCGGUCUGUCGCGUCUGCUGUGAAAACCCGAGGCUCAACCUCGGGCCUGCAGUGGGUACGGGCAGACUAGAGUGCGGUAGGGGAGAAUGGAAUUCCUGGUGUAGCGGUGGAAUGCGCAGAUAUCAGGAGGAACACCGAUGGCGAAGGCGAGUUCGUCUGGGCCGUAACUGACGCUGAGGAGCGAAAGCGUGGGGAGCGAACAGGAUUAGAUACCCUGGUAGUCCACGCCGUAAACGUUGGGCGCUAGAUGUGGGGACCAUUCCACGGUUUCCGUGUC